AUGAGAGGAGGCCUCUUAAAUCCAAACAAUCAGAACUCUGUCUUUCUCGUUUUUUUUUUUAAUCUAAACAACGUUUAUUCGUUGAGUCAGCUGGAUACCUGUUGGACAGGGUCAGAGCAGUCAUCAAAACAACCCUUUGGCCUGCUUCUGCCGUGUGGCCCAGAGGGGAAUUGGAUCAUUGAUUUCAUUAGCAUUGGGAACUUUGGUAUGGGGAAGUCCAAGCAAGAAAACUCUCUGUACCAGAACAGAAUAGCACCUGCUCUGCAAUUUUUCCUCUUCUAGUGUUGCUGGGAAGUGGUUUACCCAGUUACUUAGUCAGUAGGUACCUAACUGUUCUCUUUCUCCACUUCCUUUUAAUGAUCUGUUCAUUUACAUUGUUGAAUUUAUUCAUAUAAUUUUGUUCUUUUGGCUCUUUUUAUUUUACUCUGCAUCAGUUCACACAAAUAUUCUGAGAUCUCUUUGAAUUUUCCAUAUUUAUAAUUUCUUGUUGUACAGCAAUAAAAUAUUCCUACAUAGCUUUUUUGGGGUCA
Molecule: long non-coding RNA, 530 nt
Filed under: Monodelphis domestica (gray short-tailed opossum)
Lineage: Eukaryota; Metazoa; Chordata; Mammalia; Didelphimorphia; Didelphidae
Description: lncRNA (ENSMODG00000031700.2)
Source: RNAcentral